CCUACGGGAGGCAGCAGUGGGGAAUAUUGCACAAUGGGCGCAAGCCUGAUGCAGCCAUGCCGCGUGUAUGAAGAAGGCCUUCGGGUUGUAAAGUACUUUCAGCGGGGAGGAAGGUGUUGUGGUUAAUAACCACAGCAAUUGACGUUACCCGCAGAAGAAGCACCGGCUAACUCCGUGCCAGCAGCCGCGGUAAUAAUCUCUAGAGG
This 206-nucleotide ribosomal RNA is filed under the name uncultured Salmonella sp. RNAcentral describes it as "partial 16S ribosomal RNA". It matches the Rfam family "Bacterial small subunit ribosomal RNA", at positions 338 to 531 of the family's 1533-position model. The record is from RNAcentral. Lineage: Bacteria; Pseudomonadati; Pseudomonadota; Gammaproteobacteria; Enterobacterales; Enterobacteriaceae.